AUAACAUUAUUUUGGUAGUAUAAUACGUAUCGUCGAUAGCUUCAAUAAACUGAUAAUAAUAUUGUUAUCGUAUUGUUAUACUAUAGAAAACCCAAUAUAGUAUUUCGUCCUAUUGUUUUCGUACAUAGAGGGAAAAGAAUAUUAUUUUUUUAUUUUUUUACUUAUCUAAAGAGAUAAUUCUACCGUAGCAUGGCCGUAUACCUGCACUCCGAGUCAAGUGAUUGAACGUUUCUUUAUUUUAUUGUGCAACUAUAAUAACGUUCCUAUACUGACGUCAAAUAAUUAACUACUUGAUCGUAUUUCCUAUUUUAUAUAUUAUAUUUAUGAUUUUAUGAUGGCACUUA
Molecule: non-coding RNA, 344 nt
Organism: Cinara cedri
Lineage: Eukaryota; Metazoa; Arthropoda; Insecta; Hemiptera; Aphididae
Source: the annotation of a GenBank genome assembly